Molecule: small RNA, 696 nt
Filed under: Pongo abelii (Sumatran orangutan)
Lineage: Eukaryota; Metazoa; Chordata; Mammalia; Primates; Hominidae
Description: retained intron
Source: RNAcentral
GAGGGCACUGAAUUCCCUUGUCAUAAGAUGGUUCUUGCAACAUGUAGCUCUUAUUUCAGGGCCAUGUUUAUGAGUGGACUAAGUGAAAGCAAACAAACCCAUGUACACCUGAGGAAUGUCGAUGCUGCCACCUUACAGAUAAUAAUAACUUACGCAUACACGGGUAACUUGGCAAUGAAUGACAGCACUGUAGAACAGCUUUAUGAAACAGCUUGUUUCCUACAGGUAAGCAUAUAUAUAUUUUUUUAGACGGAGUCUCUCUCUGUUGCCCAGGCUGGAGUGCAGUGGCGUGAUCUUGGCUCACUGCAACCUCCGCCUCCCAGGUUCAAGUGAUUCUCCUGCCUCAGCCUCCUGAGUAGCUGGGAUUACAGGCGCUAAUUUUUGUAUUUUUAGUACGGGGUUUCACCAUGUUGGUCAGGCUGGUCUUGAUCUCCUGACCUCGUGAUCCACCUGCCUUGGCCUCCCAAAGUGCUGGGAUUACAGGCGUGAGCCACCGUGCCCAGCCUACAGGUAAGCAUUUUUUUCCUCAGUUACAUACAUGAGUUGUGGCUUUAUUGGUUUAUUAUGUGGUUUAUUUUGUGAGGAAACAUUGUUAAACCUUUUUUAUUGAUGUUUUUGAGACGGGGUCUUGUUCAGUCACCCAGGCAGGAGGGCAUUGGUGCAGUCAUGGUUCACUGAAGCCUUGAACUCAUGGGC